UACAGAGGGUGCGAGCGUUAAUCGGAAUUACUGGGCGUAAAGGGUGCGUAGGUGGUUUGGUAAGUUAGGUGUGAAAGUCCUGGGCUCAACCUGGGGAUUGCGCCUAAUACUGUUAAGCUAGAGUACUGUAGAGGGAAGUGGAAUUUCCGGUGUAGCGGUGAAAUGCGUAGAUAUCGGAAGGAACAUCAGUGGCGAAGGCGACUUUCUGGACAGAUACUGACACUGAGGCACGAAAGCGUGGGGAGCAAACAGG
This 253-nucleotide ribosomal RNA is filed under the name uncultured bacterium. Its description in RNAcentral is "partial 16S ribosomal RNA". It matches the Rfam family "Bacterial small subunit ribosomal RNA", at positions 524 to 776 of the family's 1533-position model. The record is from RNAcentral.